UAUGCGCGUCCCUCUAAAUAAAGUGGCGGCUAGAUUGACCGUGAUUUUCGACUUGGCGGCUGGCUUGACCGCAGUUAAAUUACUGGGAAGGGAGUGUUCACUUCUCGAAUCACAUCGAGCAUGCUGAACUCCAAUACAGCAAGUGAGUCAUUAAACUAUUAUAUAUUUUAUUUAUAUAUUAUGUUAAUUUGUUAAAAGUAGAAAAAUAAUUAGAGUGAAGUUUAAAGUAUUUGGGUACAAUAUAUAUGUUGUUUAUUGUAUCUACAUCUGUAAAUAUUACUUCUGUAACUGUAACAGGUUAACUGUUAACAAGAAAGGUACUGGGGGGGAUAACAGCAAUUCUGAACGGGUUGUCUUGUGUUAUGUUGUGUUAAUAAUCAGUGUUGAGUGAUGGAGUUUAGAGAUUUGCCCCAACGCUAUUCACAUAACACGAAAACCAAGCAUCCUCAAUUAUUUCCUCUACUUUUAAAUUAUUACAAAUAAACACUAUUAUCCAUAAAUUCAACUGAUACAAAUACCAUAGGUUUUUAAAAGCAACUUUUUGUCGGUUUUCAUUAUAACCGCACCAUGGUUGUGUAUUCCGCUCUUUAGCUUCACUCUUUUUAACCCUACGAUUACCAGGAAGAUUCUCAGGUUAAUCUGCAUGAAGUGUAAGUAAGAGGGUCCGCCCUCCAGAUGGCGCUAUACUGCUGGCAUAAGUAACUGUUAAUGUUACUGUACAGGUUCUGCAGUGUGUCCAUCAGUGUCCAUCUGUCUGUCUGCAGUCUGGAAGAUGCUGACUUCUGUCUUUCCCUGUAGGGCCAUUGGGUUCAUAGAAAUGGACGCUGACUCUAUGGGUUUGCCUCUCUCUGUUGAGGAGACCCGACCAGAACCAGUCCAGAGUUCAGUGUGUCUGUGUCCAUUCACUCACGGAGGAUGAUGAGGAAGAUGAUGCCUGAUGAAGAGGAGCGGCUUGAGGGGUCAAGAGAUAAAACCAUGUACUGGACAUUCAGAUUUUUCUUGACUUUGUAUGAAAUGGCUUCUGCGAUCACUCAUUAAAAGGAUGAUU
This 1048-nucleotide long non-coding RNA is filed under the name Sinocyclocheilus anshuiensis. Its description in RNAcentral is "lncRNA (ENSSANG00000009843.1)". The record is from RNAcentral. Lineage: Eukaryota; Metazoa; Chordata; Actinopteri; Cypriniformes; Cyprinidae.